CUUGGCGUUGGUUGUCCAAGUUUAAGGUNNNAGGCUGAAAUCUUAGGUAAAUCCGGGUUUCAAGGCCGAGAGCUGAUGACGAGUCGUCUUUUAGAUGACGAAGUGGUUGGUGCCAUGCUUCAAGAAAAGCUGCUAAGCUUCAGGUAACCAGAACCGUACCCCAAACCGACAGGUGGUCGGGUAGAGGAUACCAAGGCGCUUGAGAGAACUCGGGUGAAAGAACUAGGCAAAAUGGCACCGNAACUUCGGGAGAAGGUGCGCCGGCUAAGGGUGAAGGAUUUACUCCGUAAGCUCUGGCUGGUCGAAGAUACCAGGCCGCUGCGACUGUUUNUUAAAACACAGCACUCUGCAAACACGAAAGUGGACGUAUAGGUGUGACGCCUGCCCGGUGCCGGAAGGUUAAUUGAUGGGGUUAGCGCAAGCGAAGCUCUUGAUCGAAGCCCCGGUAAAGCGGCCGUAACGAUAACGGUCCUAAGGUAGCGAAAUUCCUUGUCGGGUAAGUUCCGACCUGCACGAAUGGCGUAACGAUGGCGGCGGCGCUGUUCCACCGAGACUCAGUGAAAUUGAAAUCGCUGUGAAGAUGCAGUGUAUCCGCGGCUAGACGGAAAGACCCCGUGAACCUUUACUGUAGCUUGCACCGGACUUUGAGCCUGCUUGNAGGAUAGGUGGGAGGCUUUGAAGCGUGGACGCCAGUUCGCGUGGAGCCAUCCUUGAAAUACCACCCUGGCAUGCUUGAGGUUCUAACUCUGGUCCGUAAUCCGGAUCGAGACAGUGUAUGGUGGGCAGUUUGACUGGGCGGUCUCCUCCUAAAGAGNAACGGAGGAGUACGAAGGUGCGCUCAGACCGGUCGGAAAUCGGUCGCAGAGUAUAAAGGCAAAAGCGCGCUUGACUGCGAGACAACACGUCGAGCAGGUACGAAAAGUAGGUCUUAGUGAUCCGGUGGUUCUGUAUGGAAGGGCCAUCGCUCAACGGAUAAAAGGUACUCCCGCGGAUAACAGGCUGAUACCGCCCAAGAGUUCAUAUCGACGGCGGUGUUUGGCACCUCGAUGUCGGCUCAUCACAUCCUGGGGAAGCCGGUCCCAAGGGUAUGGCUGUUCGCCAUUAGUGGUACGCGAGCUGGGUUUAGAACGUCGUGAGACAGUUCGGUCCCUAUCUGCCGUGGACGUUUGAGAUNGAGAGGCUGCUCCUAGUACGAGANCCGGAGUGGACGAACCUCUGGUGUUCAGUUGUCACGCCAGUGGCAUUGCCGGGUAGCUAUGUUCGGAAAAGAUAACCGCUGAAAGCAUCUAAGCGAAACUUGCCUCAAGAUGAGAUCUCACUGGGAACUUGAUUCCCUGAAGGGCCGUCGAAGACUGCGACGUUGAUAGGCUGGGUGUAAGCGUUGUGAGGCGCUGAGCUAACCAGUACUAAUUGCCCGUGAGG
This 1422-nucleotide ribosomal RNA is filed under the name metagenome. RNAcentral's name for it is "bacterial LSU rRNA". It matches the Rfam family "Bacterial large subunit ribosomal RNA", at positions 1491 to 2916 of the family's 2925-position model. The record is from RNAcentral.